UGUGUGCAGUGACGGGGUAAAAGAGAAAUACUGCAUGUGUCUGAAAACGGAAAUGGCUAAAUGUACAACCAGUGCUGGUGACAAAUUUGCAAAGGAAGCGCUGGAGCUGGCCUGGUCGACGGUUGCAUGUGAUGGCUACCGUAUCUCCACGUCCGACGCCUUGUUGGCUGUCAGUGUUAUGAUCUCUCUGACAGUACUAGGAAAAUGAGACAUCAUCACACUGCUCACAAUACAUGGAUUAAGUACAUGUGUUGUAGUAUAAAUGUUGGUUGGCUGUUUUUCCGACGCAAUCAGCAAAGGAAGGUUCCAGAAAAUAAUCAAGAAUGGACGGGACUUAAAGGAUUGCAGUGAAUAUGAUACGUAUCACGAAUAUUGGGUAACAAAUGCAAUAACUCUGAUGUAUUAUUCCGCCGUGAUAUUGCUGGAAUAUUGCUAUAAGCGGCGUAAAAACAAACUCAUUCACUCUGAUGUAUUAUUCAUGUUAUUCGGAGAGACAAUAACAAAUUAUAGUCUUUGACUAUGUUGACAGUGUUACUUUAUCUCAAUAAUCCUCCCUAAUCACAUUACUGU
Haliotis rubra (blacklip abalone) is the source of this 570-nucleotide long non-coding RNA. RefSeq lists it as uncharacterized. The transcript has 3 exons. The record is from RefSeq and is a predicted model, not a curated record. Lineage: Eukaryota; Metazoa; Mollusca; Gastropoda; Lepetellida; Haliotidae.